This 486-nucleotide ribosomal RNA is filed under the name uncultured bacterium. RNAcentral describes it as "bacterial SSU rRNA". It matches the Rfam family "Bacterial small subunit ribosomal RNA", at positions 28 to 507 of the family's 1533-position model. The record is from RNAcentral.
GAUGAACGCUAGCGGGAGGCUUAACACAUGCAAGUCGAGGGGCAGCAUAGGGUAGCAAUACUCUGAUGGCGACCGGCAAACGGGUGAGUAACGCGUAUGCAACCUACCCUGUACAGGGGGAUAACCCGGAGAAAUUCGGACUAAUAUCCCGUAAUAAUAUCCGGAGGCAUCUUUGGAUAUUUAAAGUUCCGACGGUACGGGAUGGGCAUGCGUAACAUUAACUGGUUGGUAAGGUAACGGCUUACCAAGGCUAUGAUGUUUAGGGGUCCUGAGAGGGUGGUCCCCCACACUGGUACUGAGACACGGACCAGAUUCCUACGGGAGGCAGCAGUGAGGAAUAUUGGUCAAUGGGCGCAAGCCUGAACCAGCCAUCCCGCGUGCAGGAAGACGGCCCUAUGGGUUGUAAACUGCUUUUCCAGGGAGAGAAACUUACGCACGUGUUGCGUGACUGACGGUACCUGGGAAUAAGCAUCGGCUAACUCCGUG